This 73-nucleotide transfer RNA is filed under the name Tuber melanosporum (Perigord truffle). RNAcentral describes it as "tRNA-Ile (TAT) (tRNA-Ile-TAT-1-1)". It matches the Rfam family "tRNA". Rfam says of the family: Transfer RNA (tRNA) molecules are approximately 80 nucleotides in length. Their secondary structure includes four short double-helical elements and three loops (D, anti-codon, and T loops). Lineage: Eukaryota; Fungi; Ascomycota; Pezizomycetes; Pezizales; Tuberaceae. The record is from RNAcentral.
ACCCCUGUGACGCAGCGGUUAGCGUGUCGUUCUUAUAAUGCGAAAGUCGUGAGUUCGAAUCUCACCCGGGGUA